AAGUUAGAGAACCGGACCAAGCGAAAUACAGGGGCAGAGGAGGCAGCAGGGAGGCCCUGGGAGCUCUUUGAAUCCCCAGGUAGCCUAUUCCUGCCUGGCACCACUGGGAUUCAUCAGGAGGGAGGCCAGAGGAGCAGGAGGUGGGAGGCGGAAAGCCUCGGGCAAGUUUUCAAGCCCGUCCUCUGUCUGGAAACAGACUCAGAGGUGUUGCAGGGGACACGGUGGGAGUGAGACCAGCCCUUCGGUGUGCGUGGGAUCUGGGGGAGGCCUGUGACUGCCGGCUUUCCCCUGCUUCUCUGACAACCUGCAUGACUCAGCAGAGGCAGCCAUAAUCCUGGAGAGCCCCGGUUUAAGAUCUCCAGGUGAAGUAGAUUUUUAUUGUUUUGGUAUCAGAAUGAGUCUGCCUUCAAACAAUAAGUGAGGGAAGAGUCCCUCCUUCUCAACUUUUUGGAAAAGUUUCAGUAGGUACCAGAUCUUCUUUAGACAUCUGGUAGAAUUUGGCUGUGAAU
This 509-nucleotide long non-coding RNA is filed under the name Homo sapiens (human). RNAcentral's name for it is "non-protein coding lnc-ALOX12-1:5". Lineage: Eukaryota; Metazoa; Chordata; Mammalia; Primates; Hominidae. The record is from RNAcentral.